UAUGAUGUACUCCAGACUCAUAAAGGAGUGUGUGUCUCGAUGGCCACUGCCUACGAAGGCGUCUACCUUGAGACAUACAACCUGGAGAUGGACCUGGGGUCUAAUCUGAGAACAUUCCUCAAUUCAUCCCCCUGGAGAGGCUGGUCAAGCAGAGCAACAUGCAGACAGACGUCAGGGCUUUCCUGGAUACCCUCAGCCAGUAUCUCAAUGCCUACGUUGGCCGCAAGCAGCAGCUGCACCUCAUCAAGGAGCUUCAUAGCUCUGUUCAGGUGAUGGAGAGCAAUACUCUCUAUACUAUACUAUACUAUACUGGUGCUGAUGUUCACUAUACCAGGAGAGAAGGCCAGGGCUGCAUUGUGCACACUGGAGUAUGCUGACCACACACGAUGUCUGCCCAACCGGGUCAACAUGGAGUCUGAAGACAUCGUGCUGGCCAAUUCUCCACAAUGGAAGAAGAACCACGCCCUACUCCUGGAGACCCCGGUACACACAGCCUUGGUGACCAUUAAGAAGACAGGCAGUAUCGCUUAGUCUGAACACACAGUAUCCUGUAAAUACACUCAAGACUGAACAGUUGUUUAUGUCAAUGUAUGAAGUUUGUUUUACAUUUGUUUUUUAUACUAAUUUAAUUAAGCCAGUCACUAUGUAG
Molecule: long non-coding RNA, 649 nt
Organism: Coregonus clupeaformis (lake whitefish)
Lineage: Eukaryota; Metazoa; Chordata; Actinopteri; Salmoniformes; Salmonidae
Exons: 3
Source: RefSeq, a predicted model, not a curated record